GACGAACGCUGGCGGCGUGCUUAACACAUGCAAGUCGAACGGACAGACAGAGAGGUUGCUCUCUUGAAGUUAGUGGCGAACGGGUGAGUAACGCGUAAUCAACCUGCCCUUCAGAGGGGGAUAACAACGGGAAACCGUUGCUAAUACCGCGUACGCUUAAUGAACGGCAUCGUUUAUGAAUGAAAGGUGGCCUCUAUGCAUAAGCUAUCGCUGAAUGAGGGGAUUGCGUCUGAUUAGCUAGUUGGGGGGGUAACGGCCCACCAAGGCAAUGAUCAGUAGCCGGUCUGAGAGGAUGAACGGCCACAUUGGGACUGAGACACGGCCCAAACUCCUACGGGAGGCAGCAGUGGGGAAUCUUCCGCAAUGGACGAAAGUCUGACGGAGCAACGCCGCGUGAGUGAUGAAGGUCUUCGGAUUGUAAAGCUCUGUUAAUCGGGACGAAAGAGUUCUGCGUGAAUAAUGCAGAAAAGUGACGGUACCGGAAUAGAAAGCCACGGCUAACUACGUGCCAGCCGCCGCAGUAA
This 524-nucleotide ribosomal RNA is filed under the name uncultured bacterium. RNAcentral describes it as "partial 16S ribosomal RNA". It matches the Rfam family "Bacterial small subunit ribosomal RNA", at positions 28 to 523 of the family's 1533-position model. The record is from RNAcentral.